Molecule: long non-coding RNA, 1896 nt
Organism: Cucumis sativus (cucumber)
Lineage: Eukaryota; Viridiplantae; Streptophyta; Magnoliopsida; Cucurbitales; Cucurbitaceae
Exons: 2
Source: RefSeq, a predicted model, not a curated record
CAACUUCCAUUGUAGUCUCUGUUAUCCUUACUCUCUCACAAAUCUCCAUCUCUUUCCUCUUUCCUCUCCAUUUCUCUUAUGAAAAAGCUCCGACGCUUUAAGCUUCGAAAGCGUCUUAUUCUUUUCUCGAGGUGGUUCGGUCGAAAUAUUCGACCCAUGACAUCCUUGUCAUCGGUUAGAUAUUACAGACUGACCCAGGAGGCUAACUCGUUGAAAGAACCCAAGUUGUCCUCAAAGCUCCUCAGUUGGGGUCGCCAGCUGAGUUUUCUUCGACAACGUGUGUCGACCGAGGAGAAGCCUGAUCACCUAGUGCCGAAAGGUCAGUUGGCCGUGUACGUAGGAGAAAGCGGAGGAGGAUUGAGCCGGGUUUUGGUGCCGGUGGUGUAUUUCAAACACAGGCUUUUCAUCGAGCUACUAAGGGAGGCAGAGGAGGAGUAUGGGUUUAGACAUGAGAAAGGGAUUACUUUGCCUUGUGGGUAUUCGGAGUUUGAGAGGAUUCAGACUAAGAUUCGGGAUUGUCGACGGAGUUGGGCGCGGUGGAGAAGCUCCGGCAGCUGCUGCUCGCCGGAGAGGGGUGAUGUUGAUUUGUGGAGGCUCUUGGAACUUUGAUUGAAAAGAUCAAGGGAUGAGUGGUUUUUGACUUUUCUUCUACAGUGGAUGGUUUUGGACGUUUUUUCUUUUUCUUUUUUGGGUGUGGAUGUGAUGUAAAUUAGUUUUUUAGUUUAUACUAAAAAAUAAUAUUAAUCUUUUGAAAAAUUAAUACUUGCUUAGUGGGACUGCUUAUAUGUGGUUUAUUUGUGUCAUCAUAUGCUUCUUUCUCUUGCACAUGGAACUUGAUAAUAUAAAUUUAUUUCAAAUUAACUUCUAAUUGUUCAAAAAAAAAGAAAAGAAAAGGAAGAGACUAAAAUUGGAAAUAAAGUAAGCGGUUGGUAUCUUGGACGGUCAACUUAUAACUGCCUACUCUCAAUAGCAUCUCGCUUACAACUACGUUUUCUUCCUCACUCAAUCUAUGCUCUCUUCUUCUUCUUCUUCUUCUUCAGUCCAUUCUCAAGCAUUCUCGCAGAAGCAUCUCUCUUUGAUGCUAUAAAGUCACGCAAAUCUGCUUUCUUUUCGUUUUUGGUUCUUCUUUUCUGCACAUGCAUGAAGUCUAACUUUUAUGGAUAUGGCGGCCUAUUUCCAUGAAGGGAUUUUUUCCCCUUCCUUUUGAUUACAGGAGAAUUUCGAUUUUCCGUUGCUUCAUUGCUUUAAUUUUUGAUCGAUGGGGGUUUGGGUUUGUUAUAUCUAAUCAUUUAGUUUUGUGUUUAAGGGAUUUCCACCAUUCUUUUCGAUUACUGGAGAAUUAGGUUUCCCGUUGAUUCUCAUACCAAUUUUAUUUUUUGAUCGAUGGGUUUUGUUGUAUUGAAUCAUUUAGUUUCUUUUUGCAACUGGGGUUUCUAAGAAUGUGCUUUAUUGUUCUGAAUUUUCUCUUGCUAACUUUCGUCUAGGCUUUGACCACGAGCGAUGUGAGAGAUAUGUACUAGUGCGUGGAUCAAUUACUGAGAUUUAUUUGAGCACAAGACAGAGUAAUGGAUGUCAAUUUGUUGAAACUGAAGUAUGGUUUGAUUUGCUAAUAAUGUGGCGUUUGGGUUGAGUUGGGUUGCAAGAUGUUAAUUCUCUCAAGAGGACGAAGACAAGGAAGCUUUCCCUACGUUGGUCCAUGAACAUCCCUAGUUUUGGAAAUGGAAGACUCUUGUUCAUGACAAAACCUUUUAACAGAACACAUGCUAAACUUGAAACAUUAUUGCAUCUUAUAUAUAUCAACAUGAAAAGUUUUCAGUACUAUAAAAUUAUGUACUUUCUCCUUUGAACAUUUAACUCGAUUUUAAAUUAAUUAAGAAAAAAUAUCGAUUUAUUCUA